AUGCUCACUUCCACAGCACAUAUAUUAAAACUGGAAUGAUACAGAGAAGAUUAGCAUGGCCCUGUGUAAGAAUAACACUCAAAUUUGUGAUGCAUAUCAUACUUUU
This 106-nucleotide small nuclear RNA is filed under the name Zalophus californianus (California sea lion). Lineage: Eukaryota; Metazoa; Chordata; Mammalia; Carnivora; Otariidae. The record is from RNAcentral. RNAcentral also lists the same sequence under 1 other name.